Molecule: ribosomal RNA, 253 nt
Filed under: uncultured bacterium
Lineage: Bacteria
Description: partial 16S ribosomal RNA
Rfam family: Bacterial small subunit ribosomal RNA
Source: RNAcentral
UACGGGGGAUGCAAGCGUUAUCCGGAUUUAUUGGGCGUAAAGCGUUCGUAGAUGGUUGCUUAAGUUUAAUGUUAAAUACCAAGGCUUAACCUUGACAAUGCAUUAAAAACUGGGCGACUCUAGUGCAAUAGGGGUAAAGGGAAUUUCCAGUGUAGCGGUGAAAUGCGUAGAUAUUGGAAAGAACGCCUACAGCGAAAGCACUUUACUGGGUUGUUACUGAAAUUGAGGAACGAAAGCUAGGGGAGCAAACGGG